AGAGUUUGAUCCUGGCUCAGAUUGAACGCUGGCGGCAGGCCUAACACAUGCAAGUCGAACGGUAACAGGAAGCAGCUUGCUGCUUUGCUGACGAGUGGCGGACGGGUGAGUAAUGUCUGGGAAACUGCCUGAUGGAGGGGGAUAACUACUGGAAACGGUAGCUAAUACCGCAUAACGUCGCAAGACCAAAGAGGGGGACCUUCGGGCCUCUUGCCAUCGGAUGUGCCCAGAUGGGAUUAGCUUGUUGGUGGGGUAACGGCUCACCAAGGCGACGAUCCCUAGCUGGUCUGAGAGGAUGACCAGCCACACUGGAACUGAGACACGGUCCAGACUCCUACGGGAGGCAGCAGUGGGGAAUAUUGCACAAUGGGCGCAAGCCUGAUGCAGCCAUGCCGCGUGUAUGAAGAAGGCCUUCGGGUUGUAAAGUACUUUCAGCGGGGAGGAAGGGAGUAAAGUUAAUACCUUUGCUCAUUGACGUUACCCGCAGAAGAAGCACCGGCUAACUCCGUGCCAGCAGCCGCGGUAAUACGGAGGGUGCAAGCGUUAAUCGGAAUUACUGGGCGUAAAGCGCACGCAGGCGGUUUGUUAAGUCAGAUGUGAAAUCCCCGGGCUCAACCUGGGAACUGCAUCUGAUACUGGCAAGCUUGAGUCUCGUAGAGGGGGGUAGAAUUCCAGGUGUAGCGGUGAAAUGCGUAGAGAUCUGGAGGAAUACCGGUGGCGAAGGCGGCCCCCUGGACGAAGACUGACGCUCAGGUGCGAAAGCGUGGGGGAGCAAA
This 776-nucleotide ribosomal RNA is filed under the name bacterium enrichment culture clone SRC_NBA3. Its description in RNAcentral is "bacterial SSU rRNA". It matches the Rfam family "Bacterial small subunit ribosomal RNA", at positions 8 to 772 of the family's 1533-position model. The record is from RNAcentral.